Molecule: long non-coding RNA, 2223 nt
Organism: Mercenaria mercenaria
Lineage: Eukaryota; Metazoa; Mollusca; Bivalvia; Venerida; Veneridae
Exons: 5
Source: RefSeq, a predicted model, not a curated record
AAGCAAUUGUUAAAUCUAAUUAUUGUUCUGCGUUUUAGAUCAUGAAGACCUGACUGCAAUUAGUCUGAUGGAAAAGAUAUUUGCAUUAGAAGAAGCUGAUAAUUCUGCGAACAGUCACCAAAACGUGGAACCAUUGCAACAAAGUCACACAUCACAGUCUACACAAGCCAGAUCUGAGUUACCAUCUGUUGGAACGACUACAGAUAACAACACUUCACGAAGCCAAAGACCUACAGAAGUAAACAGUGCAGCCUCUUCAAACGUCCCAAUGACACAAGCAGCGGCUAGGAACGACACGCCCCUUGUCUCAACGCAUUCAGGAGGACCAGAAAUGACCAGGGACGACACGCCCUCUGUGUCAACGCAUACAGGAGGACCAGAAAUGAACAGGGCUCUAAAAAAAUCUCAACUUUUAGAACAGAAAAAACUCAAAGAAGAAAAUGAAAAGUUGAAGCAACAGUCUAUAUGCACACAAUGUCGGCAGAAUGAUGUAUGCAUUGUUUUUCUACCGUGUGGCCAUUUAGUUACCUGCGAAACCUGUGCUCCUACUGUCAGAUACUGCACAGUUCAGGCAUGUGGAAAAUACAUAAAAGGAACAGUCAGGACGUAUUUGGCCUAAACUGAACUGUGCUUCAGGUCCUGUUUCCUGUGCAAGAAGAGAAAAUACAGGAUGAUCCACGUCUCGACUCCAUUCCUUGUGAAAGAACAGAUCUAUGAGGUUGCCACUGCACCAGAAGAUACUAAUCAGGUUGAAAUUCUUCUCAACUCCUAUAGAACCGUGCUUCAUGUCCUGUUUCCUGUGCAAGAAGAGAAAAUACAGGAUGAUCCACGUCUCGACUCCAUUCCUUGUUAAAAAAACAGAUCUAUGAGGUUGCCAGAUCUUCGUCUGCAUGAUGAGAAACAAAUAUCAUCUCUGAUGCCAUAAGUCAAGAGGCAUACACAUACAUACGAGCCGAUGAAGGACGAAAAGGACUCUAACGACUGAUGCCAGUCUAGACGGUAUAUUAUAUUGGAGUUGAGUCUCUUGAAGCUGUUCAGCAGGAAACCUGGUAGGCUGAAGACGAACACAAUAGGCUGAAGACGACAUGUUGCAAUAUUUAUGAGCAGGACACAAAAGCGUCACUAGAUGUGAUAUUUGAUCAUUUGCCAGUUACUCGUUGUGGACUGGAAUAUAAGCACUGAGAACAGGAUUGUUAUGGACUGGGAUGUAGGUUAAAAGCCCGCCGCUUAGCUCAAUAAGGAGAGCGCAGAUCUAUGAAUCGUUGGGUUUGAGCAUGAGGCAUAUGACGAUUUGAUAGAAUACAAUGUGGUAGAGCGCCCGCUUCGAGUAUGCGGGGUCGUGAGUUCGCUCCCUGGCCGCGUCAUACCAAAGACGUGAAAAAUGGUACUAGUAUCUUCCUCGCUUGGCGCUCAGCAUUAAGAGGAUAGUACUGGGACUGGUCAGCCCGGUGUCAGUAUAAUGUGACUGGGUGGGGUAUCAUGUCACGUGUCUACGGCGUGAUAUUCCAGUGAGGCAGCACUAUACAUUGGACAUAGUGCCCACUGCAGUAAGGAGACACCGUCGUUAUAUGACUGAAAAAUUGUUGAAUAAGACGCUAAACCGGAAAACACACACAGUUACAUAAAAAUCAUUACAAUGUAUGUAUCCCUAUUUUUGUGUCAAAAUGUAUUGUAAACUGCAUAUCUAAAACAAACUUAAACUACUCUACGAUGUAGUCCGACUAUGUUUUAGUAUGCGGAAAAUUACAAGAAUUAGAAAUGAUAUAAAUAAUUACAUUUACAUGUAUAUGAUGGUAAUGGUAUAAUGUAUAUAUUGGGCAAAAUCCUGCCUGUUUAAAUGUGCAAUAUUGUAAAUAUGUAAAGUAUGUAUAUCAUAACUAUUUCAGAUAUCUGUGAUAUUGUAUAUAUAUUUUAGUUUACGUAUUUUUGUUUUAUUAUUUGUCCUUAAUGAAGUACAUAGUUUUUUAUUCAUUAUACAUUUGUUCACUCAUGCUAAUGCAUUACAAUUAUCCUAUAUCAAGAAAUGUUUGUCAUGAUUUAUAGUGUCGCUAUAGGAAUAUAGAGUUAAGUGUUUUCAUUUUUUUAAUUCACUAACAACUAUAUUCUUUCAUUAAAAAAAGUGAUCAUAUAUAUUUCGAAUAUGUUGGAUAAAUAUAUAUGAUUUUCCUUUUUUAAAAAAUGUUGUUUAAAUGAAUUUAUUUUAAUAAACGUUGAAAUAUUAAA